AAGCAUCAAAAUAUAGGGAUAAUCUCAUUUAAGGAAGAUUAUGAGUGAGAGAGAGGUGUGUAAGUGUACAAAAAGAAAAGCAUGGAGCUAAAGACCCAUUUGGAAAAAAAUGUGAGUGUUUUGAGUUCCAUGGGUCGGUGGGAAACCCGUAGGGCCACUGCUGUUAAGUUCUUACGUCCACAUUACUCAUUUCUUUUAUUUUCUCUCUCCUUGGUUAGGUGGAUUACCCACUUUCCAAUUCAACAAUUGGCUCCAAUAAAUGGGCUUUCCACUUGUGUUAUGAGGUCCACCGGUGAUUGCAAGACACUUGUCUCUGGGGCACAGUAUUUUAAGGCCUGACGAUUCUUGAUCCAGAUUGCCGAUUGGAUGAAGAAUCGGUCAGAAUUAAAUUGGUUCUUAGAUGGUAUGGGUCAUGGUACGUUCCCUCUGCACAUUUUAUGAACUUUUUUUUUUUUUUUAAGGUUUUUAUUUUCUUAUUAGGUUUCCUAAAUCCCACGCCAUAAACUUAUAUUUAUAAUUUUUAUCUUAUUUUAUUUAUUAA
Molecule: long non-coding RNA, 541 nt
Filed under: Amborella trichopoda
Lineage: Eukaryota; Viridiplantae; Streptophyta; Magnoliopsida; Amborellales; Amborellaceae
Description: long non-coding RNA (ATRI_LNC002184)
Source: RNAcentral